RNAcentral lists this long non-coding RNA (1148 nucleotides) under Heterocephalus glaber (naked mole-rat). RNAcentral's name for it is "lncRNA (ENSHGLG00100038026.1)". Lineage: Eukaryota; Metazoa; Chordata; Mammalia; Rodentia; Bathyergidae. The record is from RNAcentral.
UGAGGGGGGAGAUGGGGUGCUGAUUGGUUCACUCCUUCACUUCCAGGCAUUCUGACCUCACAACAGACCUCGAAGGACUGGAUUCCAAACUAGAGCCCAUCAGAGAAACAGACAAAAUGUGCUGUUCAGUACUUCGCUUUCUUUCAACUGGCCUAUAAAGACAUCUAGCUACACGCGGACGCUCCCCCUGCUCUGCUAUUCCACAGUUCGUACUUUUUAUCACGGUCACAUUAAAACUGUGUAGUUUUGUUUUUUGUAUUUGGGUUUUGUUUUUGUUUUUGUUUGGUACCGGGGAUCAAACUCGGGUUCUUGCACUUGCGAGGCAGGCGGCGGCACCACUGAGCUAAAUCCCCGGCCCAAAACCGCGUUGUUUUUAAAGAGCGUGGCAAGCAGAAGAGCUUCCCCUGAGCACUGAUGGGUCUGGUGCCGCAGGUUUUAUUGCGACUCACUCUGUUCCGGCACAAGCACGCGGACCAGCGCAUCUCCCUUCCUGCUGUUCUGCAGGAGGAUUUCAUACACCUGCCAGUCUUACUUUUUUUUCAAACACGGGUCCCAAUUCACUCCUUAGGAAUGGAAUCGUUAUGAAAGGACAAUCAGUGGGCUUUACAGCAGCGGUCUGCAUCCACUACGUGAAAGAAAUCAGCAGGAGAAACAGCAGGUCCUGGGCUGGACUCGCUUUGUAAUUUAAAUGAAGAUAAAAUGUUUAUGGCCCUCCAGCUCCCAGAUGCCCUAGCAUAUAUUAAGCACGCUUCACGCCAGCUCGCUGUUUCCACCUCUCCAGGAUUCUGCUCAAAAUGAUGUUUGCAAGGAAGACUUUCCUAACCCUUAGCUGGAGUUGAGGGACCUCUUCUCUGCUCCCACAAUCAUCAUUCUCUCUGUCUCCCUGACUGGCUUGCAUGCUCCAUGGGGACAUGUCUUGCUCAUCUUAUUGGAUCUUCUGCCUCCAAGUUCUGUCUGGAACCAAGGUAUAAGCUAAAUAAACCUGAGUUCAGUGAAUGGCUAUCAACUCUUCAGCUGCCCAAGAAUGUUCAUUUUCUUCUUGUCUAUAUAGGAACAGAUUAAAAUUUACCGCAUGCACCAUAGAAUUAUCAAUCAUGAAGAGUUUUACAUUUUCCUAAGUCCAGUUAUUUUUCCCAACUGUGUCCACC